RNAcentral lists this long non-coding RNA (1703 nucleotides) under Homo sapiens (human). Its description in RNAcentral is "non-protein coding lnc-CCDC54-9:1". Lineage: Eukaryota; Metazoa; Chordata; Mammalia; Primates; Hominidae. The record is from RNAcentral.
UUUAUCAUUAGCCUCAUCCUUGCAACCAUAUUUAUAUACACAGGCCAAAAAGCUGUCUUCUCUAACUGGCACUGGAUAACAAUCCAAACCCUAAAACUCUCACUCAACUUCAAACUGGACUACUUCUCUAUAAUAUCCAUUCCAGUGGCACUAUUCAUUACAUGAUCCAUCAGAGAAUUUUAAAUGCGGUAGAUACACUCAGAUCCCAACGUGAACCAAUUUUUCAAGUACUUACUCAUUUUUCUCAUUACCAUAUUAAUUCUGGUUACUGCCAAAAACCUUUUCCAACUUUUUAUCGGGUGAGAAGCCGUAUGGUUUAUAUCUUUCCUAUUAAUCAGCUGAUGAUAUGGCCGAACAGAUGCUACUAUAGCAGCCUUUCGGGCAAUCCUAUAUAACCGCAUCGGUGACACUGGCUUUGGUUUAGCAAUAGCAUGAGUCCUCCUAUUCUCCAACACAUGAGAAUUUCAACAAAUGUUUAUUUUAAAUCCCAACCCCAGUAUCUUUCCAAUAAUUGGUCUUCUGGCAGGGGCUGGAAAAUCAGCCCAAUUUGGCCUCCAUCCUUGACUUCCAUCAGCUAUAGAAGGCCCAACACCAGUCACAGUUCUGCUCCAUUCUAGCACAAUAGUUGUAGCAGGGGUUUUCCUACUUAUCCAAUUUCACCCUUUAACAGAAACAACUUAAUCAUUCAAACCCUCAGAUUAUGCCUAGGAGCUAUCACUACACUAUUUAUAGCCAUCUGUGCCCUGACACAAAAUGAUGUUUAAAAAAUUGUAGCAUUAUCCACCUCAAGUCAAUUAGGCUUUAUAACAUUCACAUUUGGUAUUAAUCAACCUCACUAAGCAUUUCUUAACAUUUGUACCCAUGCUUUCUUCAAAGCCAAAUUGUUCAUAUGCUCUGGAUCUGUUAUCCAUUAACUUCAGUGAUGAACAGGAUAUCCGAAAAACAGGUGGGUUAUUUAAGGCCCUACCCUUCACCUCUUCCUCACUUAUUUUUUUUUCUUCCUCACUUAUUAUUGGCAGCCUUGCACUCACAGGAAUACCUUUCCUCAUAGGUUUCUACUCCAAAGAUCUCAUUAUCAAAACUGCAAACGUCGUGUACCAACGCAUGAGUCCUUUUAAUUACUCUCAUUGACACCUCCCUAAUAGCUGUCUACAGCACCCAAAUAAUUUUUUUCACACUGUUAGGACAACUUCACUUCACAACUUCAAUUAUCAUCAACAAAAACAAUCCCCUCCUAAUUAAUGCAAUCUAACACCUGACAAUUGGUAGCAUUUUCGCCAGAUUCUUCAUCUCCAGCAACAUUACUCUAAUAUCAAUUCCCCAAAUAACUAUGCCACUCCACCUAAAACUUGCAGCCCUUGGUGUAAGUAUUUUAGGCAUUUCACUAGUAACAGAACUUAACCUCAUGACUAAAAACCUUAAACUUAAGCAUCCAUCACAAACAUUUAAUUUCUCAAACAUAUUAGGGUUUUAUCCAAUCACAAUACAUUGUGCAACUGCCCCCCACACUCAAAUCUACAUGCAAGUCAAAAUCUAGCCUCCAUUCUACUAGACUUAAUUUGAUUAGAAAAAUCAAUGCCAAAAACACUGCUCAAGUCCAAAUUUUAGCCUCCACCAUUGAAUCUACCCCGAAAGGCCUAAUUAAACUCUAUUUUUUCUCCCUCCUUAUUCCAUCUCUCCUAACUCUAUUCUUAAUUAUUUAA